This 82-nucleotide transfer RNA is filed under the name Bulbochaete rectangularis var. hiloensis. RNAcentral describes it as "tRNA-Leu". It matches the Rfam family "tRNA". From Rfam's summary of the family: Transfer RNA (tRNA) molecules are approximately 80 nucleotides in length. Their secondary structure includes four short double-helical elements and three loops (D, anti-codon, and T loops). Further hydrogen bonds mediate the characteristic L-shaped molecular structure. tRNAs have two regions of fundamental functional importance: the anti-codon, which is responsible for specific mRNA codon recognition, and the 3' end, to which the tRNAs corresponding amino acid is attached (by aminoacyl-tRNA synthetases). tRNAs cope with the degeneracy of the genetic code in two manners: having more than one tRNA (with a specific anti-codon) for a particular amino acid; and 'wobble' base-pairing, i.e. permitting non-standard base-pairing at the 3rd anti-codon position. The record is from RNAcentral. Lineage: Eukaryota; Viridiplantae; Chlorophyta; Chlorophyceae; Oedogoniales; Oedogoniaceae.
GCGGAUAUGGCGAAAUAGGUAGACGCGUUUGACUUAGGAUCAAGUGUUGAAGAACAUGCAGGUUCAAUUCCUGCUAUCCGCA